GCCGGGUGCGGUGAUUCACACCUGUAAUCCCAGCACUUUGGGAGGCCGAGGCAGGCAGAUCAUGAGGUCAGGAGUUUGAGACCAGCCUGGCCAACGUGGUGAAACCCCGUCUCUACUAAAAUACAAAAAAAUUAGCCGGGGUUGGUGGUGCAUGCCUGUAGUCCCAGCUACUUGGGAGGCUGAGGCAGGAGAAUCACUUGAAUCUGGGAGGUAGAGGCUCACCAUCUACCCGGCUAAUUUUUUUGUAUUUUUAGUAGAGACGGGGUUUCACCACGUUGGCCAGGCUGGUCUCGAACUCCUGACCUCAUGAUCCGCAUCCCCCCU
This is a non-coding RNA of Homo sapiens (human), 324 nucleotides long. Lineage: Eukaryota; Metazoa; Chordata; Mammalia; Primates; Hominidae. The record is from Rfam.